GCCUACGGGGGGCAGCAGUGGGGAAUAUUGCACAAUGGGCGAAAGCCUGAUGCAGCAACGCCGCGUGAGCGAUGAAGGCCUUCGGGUCGUAAAGCUCUGUCCUCAAGGAAGAUAAUGACGGUACUUGAGGAGGAAGCCCCGGCUAACUACGUGCCAGCAGCCGCGGUAAUACGUAGGGGGCUAGCGUUAUCCGGAUUUAUUGGGUUUAAAGGGUGCGUAGGCGGUCCGGAAAGUCAGCGGUAAAAGCCCGGGGCUCAACCCCGGCGAGCCGUUGAAACUGUCGGACUAGAGACGGCGAGAAGUAC
Molecule: ribosomal RNA, 305 nt
Filed under: uncultured bacterium
Lineage: Bacteria
Description: bacterial SSU rRNA
Rfam family: Bacterial small subunit ribosomal RNA
Source: RNAcentral